RNAcentral lists this unclassified non-coding RNA (352 nucleotides) under soil metagenome. Its description in RNAcentral is "partial contains 5.8S ribosomal RNA, internal transcribed spacer 2, and large subunit ribosomal RNA". The stretch from base 1 to 120 matches the Rfam family "5.8S ribosomal RNA", at positions 35 to 154 of the family's 154-position model. The record is from RNAcentral.
GAUGAAGAACGUAGCGAAAUGCGAUAAGUAAUGUGAAUUGCAGAAUUCAGUGAAUCAUCGAAUCUUUGAACGCACAUUGCGCCCGCCAGUAUUCUGGCGGGCAUGCCUGUUCGAGCGUCAUUACAACCCUCAGGCCCCCGGGCCUGGCGUUGGGGAUCGGCGGAAGCCCCCUGCGGGCACAAAGCCGUCCCCCAAAUACAGUGGCGGUCCCGCCGCAGCUUCCAUUGCGUAGUAGCUAACACCUCGCAACUGGAGAGCGGCGCGGCCACGCCGUAAACACCCAACUUCUGAAUGUUGACCUCGAAUCAGGUAGGAAUACCCGCUGAACUUAAGCAUAUCAAUAAGCGGAGGA